UACGGAAGGGGCAAGCGUUGCUUGGAAUCAUUGGGCGUAAAGGGCGCGUAGGCGGUCUUGUUUGUCUGCUGUGAAAGUCCACGGCUCACCCGUGGAGAGUCGGUGGAAACGGCAAGACUUGAGGCUGGGAGGGGUUGGUGGAAUUCCCUGUGUAGCGGUGAAAUGCGUAGAUACGGGGGAGAACACUCGUGGCGAAGGCGGCCAGCUGGGCCGGGUCCGACGCUGAGGCGCGAAAGCGUGGGGAGCAAACAGG
This 253-nucleotide ribosomal RNA is filed under the name uncultured bacterium. RNAcentral's name for it is "partial 16S ribosomal RNA". It matches the Rfam family "Bacterial small subunit ribosomal RNA", at positions 524 to 776 of the family's 1533-position model. The record is from RNAcentral.